UACGAAGGGGGGCUAGCGUUGCUCGGAAUCACUGGGCGUAAAGCGCACGUAGGCGGAUUCCUAAGUCGGUGGUGAAAUCCUGGAGCUCAACUCCAGAACUGCCUUUGAUACUGGGGAUCUCGAGUCCGGAAGAGGUGAGUGGAACUCCGAGUGUAGAGGUGAAAUUCGUAGAUAUUCGGAAGAACACCAGUGGCGAAGGCGGCUCACUGGUCCGGUACUGACGCUGAGGUGCGAAAGCGUGGGGAGCAAACAGG
RNAcentral lists this ribosomal RNA (254 nucleotides) under uncultured bacterium. RNAcentral's name for it is "partial 16S ribosomal RNA". It matches the Rfam family "Bacterial small subunit ribosomal RNA", at positions 524 to 776 of the family's 1533-position model. The record is from RNAcentral.